UACGUAGGGUGCGAGCGUUAAUCGGAAUUACUGGGCGUAAAGAGCGCGCAGGCGGUCGUUCAAGUCGAGUGUGAAAGCCCCCGGCUCAACUGGGGAGGGUCAUUCGAUGCUGAUCGACUGGAAGGCAGGAGAGGGAAGCGGAAUUCCCGGUGUAGUGGUGAAAUGCGUAGAUAUCGGGAGGAACACCAGUGGCGAAGGCGGCUUCCUGGCCUGUUCUUGACGCUGAGGCGCGAAAGCUAGGGGAGCAAACGGG
Molecule: ribosomal RNA, 253 nt
Filed under: uncultured bacterium
Lineage: Bacteria
Description: partial 16S ribosomal RNA
Rfam family: Bacterial small subunit ribosomal RNA
Source: RNAcentral